RNAcentral lists this ribosomal RNA (1191 nucleotides) under Haemophilus influenzae. Its description in RNAcentral is "bacterial SSU rRNA". It matches the Rfam family "Bacterial small subunit ribosomal RNA", at positions 1 to 1185 of the family's 1533-position model. The record is from RNAcentral. Lineage: Bacteria; Pseudomonadati; Pseudomonadota; Gammaproteobacteria; Pasteurellales; Pasteurellaceae.
GGCUUUGGAGAGUUUGAUCCUGGCUCAGAUUGAACGCUGGCGGCAGGCUUAACACAUGCAAGUCGAACGGUAGCAGGAGAAAGCUUGCUUUCUUGCUGACGAGUGGCGGACGGGUGAGUAAUGCUUGGGAAUCUGGCUUAUGGAGGGGGAUGACGACGGGAAACUGUCGCUAAUACCGCGUAUUAUCGGAAGAUGAAAGUGCGGGACUGAGAGGCCGCAUGCCAUAGGAUGAGCCCAAGUGGGAUUAGGUAGUUGGUGGGGUAAAGGCCUACCAAGCCUGCGAUCUCUAGCUGGUCUGAGAGGAUGACCAGCCACACUGGAACUGAGACACGGUCCAGACUCCUACGGGAGGCAGCAGUGGGGAAUAUUGCGCAAUGGGGGGAACCCUGACGCAGCCAUGCCGCGUGAAUGAAGAAGGCCUUCGGGUUGUAAAGUUCUUUCGGUAUUGAGGAAGGUUGAUGUGUUAAUAGCACAUCAAAUUGACGUUAAAUACAGAAGAAGCACCGGCUAACUCCGUGCCAGCACCGCGGUAAUACGGAGGGUGCCAAGCGUUAAUCGGAAUAACUGGGCGUAAAGAGCACGCAGGCGGGUAUUUAAUGAGGUGUGAAAGCCCUGGGCUUACCUAGGAAUUGCAUUUCAGACUGGGUAACUAGAGUACUUUAGGGAGGGGUAGAAUUCCACGUGUAGCGGUGAAAUGCGUAGAGAUGUGGAGGAAUACCGAAGWCGAAGGCAGCCCCUUGGGAAUGUACUGACGCUCAUGUGCGAAAGCGUGGGGAGCAAACAGGAUUAGAUACCCUGGUAGUCCACGCUGUAAACGCUGUCGAUUUGGGGGUUGGGGUUUAACUCUGGCGCCCGUAGCUAACGUGAUAAAUCGACCGCCUGGGGAGUACGGCCGCAAGGUUAAAACUCAAAUGAAUUGACGGGGGCCCGCACAAGCGGUGGAGCAUGUGGUUUAAUUCGAUGCAACGCGAAGAACCUUACCUACUCUUGACAUCCUAAGAAGAGCUCAGAGAUGAGCUUGUGCCUUCGGGAACUUAGAGACAGGUGCUGCAUGGCUGUCGUCAGCUCGUGUUGUGAAAUGUUGGGUUAAGUCCCGCAACGAGCGCAACCCUUAUCCUUUGUUGCCAGCGACUUGGUCGGGAACUCAAAGGAGACUGCCAGUGAUAAACUGGAGGAAGGUGGGGAUGACGU